This 497-nucleotide ribosomal RNA is filed under the name uncultured bacterium. Its description in RNAcentral is "partial 16S ribosomal RNA". It matches the Rfam family "Bacterial small subunit ribosomal RNA", at positions 28 to 507 of the family's 1533-position model. The record is from RNAcentral.
GAUGAACGCUGGCGGCGUGCCUAAUACAUGCAAGUCGAGCGAACAGACGAGGAGCUUGCUCCUCUGACGUUAGCGGCGGACGGGUGAGUAACACGUGGAUAACCUACCUAUAAGACUGGGAUAACUUCGGGAAACCGGAGCUAAUACCGGAUAAUAUAUUGAACCGCAUGGUUCAAUAGUGAAAGACGGUUUUGCUGUCACUUAUAGAUGGAUCCGCGCCGCAUUAGCUAGUUGGUAAGGUAACGGCUUACCAAGGCAACGAUGCGUAGCCGACCUGAGAGGGUGAUCGGCCACACUGGAACUGAGACAGGGUCCAGACUCCUACGGGAGGCAGCAGUAGGGAAUCUUCCGCAAUGGGCGAAAGCCUGACGGAGCAACGCCGCGUGAGUGAUGAAGGUCUUCGGAUCGUAGAACUCUGUUAUUAGGGAAGAACAAAUGUGUAAGUAACUAUGCACGUCUUGACGGUACCUAAUCAGAAAGCCACGGCUAACUACGUG